AGUUUGCGUGAGGGAUAGCAGUGUAAAUCCUUUUUGGAAACUUUUUCUGUUUCCAAAAAGAUUGGAACGUAUAGCCCGACCCAUU
RNAcentral lists this small RNA (85 nucleotides) under Flavobacterium cauense R2A-7. Its description in RNAcentral is "Flavo-1 RNA". It matches the Rfam family "Flavo-1 RNA". Lineage: Bacteria; Pseudomonadati; Bacteroidota; Flavobacteriia; Flavobacteriales; Flavobacteriaceae. The record is from RNAcentral.